AGCAGAGUGGCCUAGUGGAAAAGCUUGGGCGUGGGAGCCAGAGGCUCUGAGUUCUAAUCCCAGCUCUGCUG
This 71-nucleotide transfer RNA is filed under the name Ornithorhynchus anatinus (platypus). It matches the Rfam family "tRNA". From Rfam's summary of the family: Transfer RNA (tRNA) molecules are approximately 80 nucleotides in length. Their secondary structure includes four short double-helical elements and three loops (D, anti-codon, and T loops). The record is from Rfam by way of RNAcentral. Lineage: Eukaryota; Metazoa; Chordata; Mammalia; Monotremata; Ornithorhynchidae.